CCCGCGGCUGCCACCUCGAAGCGCGGCGGAGGAGCCGGGGCACCACGGGCGGCGGCAGCGGCAGCGGCAGCAGCGGCGACGGGAGCAGCAGCACAUGACUCUGUAACGAGGGGAAUUAGACAAAGCGUAACAUGGACUCCGGGCCCGUGCAGGCGCUGCAGCUCUGGGACCAACCGCAGCCGGCGAGUGCCGCGACUGGCCCGGCCGCAGCCAAUGGGGCGGGCCCGGGCCUCCAUGUGAUUGCGAGCGCUUUCUCCGGUGGCCCUGCAGCGCCUGACCGGACGGGGUCUGUGUGGCGAGGGAGGGGACCCGGGGUUGGAGACUGGCGGCGAGCGACUGCUAGAUGCGGAGCAGGUGCUUGGGAGGGGAAGAACGGCAGCCUACAUAACCAUCGCCGUAAUGCUCUCGCAAGCGUCCACCUGGGCAGGGCUCGGUGCCGGGCAGGCGCAGCUGCCAGUUAGCUGCGAGGCAUGGUCAGGAGCCUUCACCCGUCCUGGGCGAAGGAGGCUGUCCCGUCGACUAAAACUCUGAUAUUAAGACUUGGCGCUGGGGGUGGGGAGUUGAAUUACGUUAAAAAGUCACUUAAGUGCCUUCCAACUCUAAGGAGAAGUACUUAUCUGAGCUUUGGGGCACACACAACUACUACUUGGCAUGGAGAGUUUCUCAGCUUCAUGUGUUCCGUCUGUUAUUGAAGCUGUAUUGGAAAGUCGGUUCUUGUUUUUAUCUGAGCCCGCCGUUUUCAUCCCAUUCUUUUCGUCAAAAAUAUGUUACAUCUGAAAGAGGCAGAUGAAAAGAUUAUUCUAUGCUAAGAGGGUUUUGCAGCCCGAUAAUGUCACCGUUUUUUGUUGUUGUUGUUGUAGGAUCGGGGUUCAUUUGCAGUCUUUUUUGUGGGUGAGCAGAGGCAGGGGCCAAUAAAUAAAUUAAGGCGGGAUAUUUGGAGUUAUUUGGUUGUAAUAAAAUAUGUGGUUCAACCCAGUGCUUUCAUAUCUUCUUUUAUCUGAAUCCAUGUGUUUCUGUAAACCAUCGGAAGUCUAAUCUGUCUUCUACCAAUAUCUCUCCAUGUCAGCAAAUGUUCAAUCAACGUUUACCCAGCAUCUAAAUAUUCUUAAUAAGCAUGCUGCACAAAUGUUACAGGUACUCAGGAAGGUGUCGGUUCAGAGACAGUGAGACAUUAAAGAGAAUGAUUGUCCAGGGUUUCAGAAAAGGAUUCAGAGAGGAGCUGAUAGAAUUGACCCUUGGAUGGUGAGCACUUGGCCCUCAGGCAUUGGACGUGAAGAAGAGCAGCCCAAACAGGAACAUGAACAGAGAGGUCCAGAAUACACUCAAGGGACUGCCCGAGACCCGUUACAAGAUGCCACCAGAUUCUGAGCCCUCGGCCCUUUUGCUCUCACUUUCCUUCCCCGACCCUCCUUGCCAGCAGCCACUCCUGUUCCACACACUGCCAAGAAGGAGGUGUAUGGGCAGGGAGUGUGUGUAAGUGAUCUAAUCAGUGUCAGAUUUGCUGAUCUAAGAGAUGAGAGGUCUUUUAAAACUUAACAACUAGU
RNAcentral lists this long non-coding RNA (1544 nucleotides) under Homo sapiens (human). RNAcentral describes it as "non-protein coding lnc-GBP5-11:2". The record is from RNAcentral. Lineage: Eukaryota; Metazoa; Chordata; Mammalia; Primates; Hominidae.